UUAGUACGGCGAGUGAGCGGUAAAAGCUCAAAUUUGAAAUCUGGUACUUUCAGUGCCCGAGUUGUAAUUUGUAGAAUUUGUCUUUGAUUAGGUCCUUGUCUAUGUUCCUUGGAACAGGACGUCAUAGAGGGUGAGAAUCCCGUUUGGCGAGGAUACCUUUUCUCUGUAAGACUUUUUCGAAGAGUCGAGUUGUUUGGGAAUGCAGCUCAAAGUGGGUGGUAAAUUCCAUCUAAAGCUAAAUAUUGGCGAGAGACCGAUAGCGAACAAGUACAGUGAUGGAAAGAUGAAAAGAACUUUGAAAAGAGAGUGAAAAAGUACGUGAAAUUGUUGAAAGGGAAGGGCAUUUGAUCAGACAUGGUGUUUUUUGCAUGCACUCGCCUCUCGUGGGCUUGGGCCUCUCAAAAAUUUCACUGGGCCAACAUCAAUUCUGGCAGCAGGAUAAAUCAUUAAGAAUGUAGCUACUUCGGUAGUGUUAUAGCUUUUUGGAAUACUGUUAGCCGGGAUUGAGGACUGCGCUUCGGCAAGGAUGUUGGCAUAAUGGUUAAAUGCCGCCCGUC
RNAcentral lists this ribosomal RNA (557 nucleotides) under Hanseniaspora uvarum. RNAcentral describes it as "partial large subunit ribosomal RNA". It matches the Rfam family "Eukaryotic large subunit ribosomal RNA", at positions 80 to 653 of the family's 3401-position model. The record is from RNAcentral. Lineage: Eukaryota; Fungi; Ascomycota; Saccharomycetes; Saccharomycodales; Saccharomycodaceae.